CCUACGGGAGGCAGCAGUAGGGAAUCUUCCACAAUGGGCGAAAGCCUGAUGGAGCAACGCCGCGUGGGUGAAGAAGGUCUUCGGAUCGUAAAACCCUGUUGUUAGAGAAGAAAGUGCGUGAGAGUAACUGUUCACGUUUCGACGGUAUCUAACCAGAAAGCCACGGCUAACUACGUGCCAGCAGCCGCGGUAAUACGUAGGUGGCAAGCGUUAUCCGGAUUGAUUGGGCGUAAAGGGAACGCAGGCGGUCUUUUAAGUCUGAUGUGAAAGCCUUCGGCUUAACCGGAGUAGUGCAUUGGAAACUGGGAGACUUGAGUGCAGAAGAGGAGAGUGGAACUCCAUGUGUAGCGGUGAAAUGCGUAGAUAUAUCGAAGAACACCAGUGGCGAAAGCGGCUCUCUGGUCUGUAACUGACGCUGAGGUUCGAAAGCGUGGGUAGCAAACAGGAUUAGAUACCCCAGUAGUC
RNAcentral lists this ribosomal RNA (465 nucleotides) under uncultured bacterium. RNAcentral describes it as "partial 16S ribosomal RNA". It matches the Rfam family "Bacterial small subunit ribosomal RNA", at positions 338 to 795 of the family's 1533-position model. The record is from RNAcentral.